AGCGAACGCUGGCGGCAGGCCUAACACAUGCAAGUCGAGCGAGAAAAUUCCUUCGGGAAUGAUUAAAGCGGCGGACGGGUGCGUACAACAUGGAUAACCUACCUUAAGGUCUGGGAUAACCUCGGGAAACCGAAGCUAAUACCGGAUAAGACCACAUUAUCUGCGGAUAAAGGGGUAAAAGUUUUUCGCCUUUUGAUGGGUCCAUGCUCCAUCAGGUUGUUGGUGAGGUAAAAGCUCACCAAGCCGAAGACGGAUAGCCGGCCUUAGCGGGUGAUCGGCCACAUGGGGACUGAGACACGGCCCCGACUCCUACGGGAGGCAGCAGUGGGGAAUAUUGGGCAAUGGGCGAAAGCCUGACCCAGCCAUGCCGCGUGAAGGAUGAAGGCCUUCGGGUCGUAAACUUCUGUCAGUAGGGACGAUGGGACUUCGGUCUUGACGGUACCUACAGAGGAAGCCCCGGCUAACUCCG
Molecule: ribosomal RNA, 469 nt
Filed under: uncultured bacterium
Lineage: Bacteria
Description: bacterial SSU rRNA
Rfam family: Bacterial small subunit ribosomal RNA
Source: RNAcentral